Molecule: ribosomal RNA, 163 nt
Filed under: Caloplaca badioreagens
Lineage: Eukaryota; Fungi; Ascomycota; Lecanoromycetes; Teloschistales; Teloschistaceae
Description: 5.8S ribosomal RNA
Rfam family: 5.8S ribosomal RNA
About the family: 5.8S ribosomal RNA (5.8S rRNA) is a component of the large subunit of the eukaryotic ribosome. It is transcribed by RNA polymerase I as part of the 45S precursor that also contains 18S and 28S rRNA.
Source: RNAcentral
UCAAAACUUUCAACAACGGAUCUCUUGGUUCUGGCAUCGAUGAAGAACGCAGCGAAAUGCGAUAAGUAAUGUGAAUUGCAGAAUUCAGUGAAUCAUCGAAUCUUUGAACGCACAUUGCGCCCUCUGGUAUUCCGGGGGGCAUGCCUGUUCGAGCGUCAUUACA